Molecule: long non-coding RNA, 728 nt
Filed under: Mus musculus (house mouse)
Lineage: Eukaryota; Metazoa; Chordata; Mammalia; Rodentia; Muridae
Description: long non-coding RNA chr12:80435208-80435936
Source: RNAcentral
UGUCGCUAGGAGCCCCGAGAGAGCAAGGCCUACACCGCCCGGCCGGAGCCCCGGCCUCGAUUGCACCACUUUCCCCCACCCCAGCGGGGAGACCCUGGAGGCAAGUAGGCCCAGCUGAACCGGGUGGGGGAGGAGGCGAGCAGCCCUGCAACAGGAGCCGCGCGGGUGAAGGGGGUCCUGGAGCCCGCCUCCCGCCAGUAGGUCUCCCGGGGGGUCCUCCUGAAGCCCUGCCUCCCGAACAGCGCAUCCAAGUUCAGGCUGGUUGGUGUCCCUAGGUCGCUAGAGCCCUCGCCACUCUCGGAACCAUAAUAAAAACAAGACGCUGAAGAGGCUACCACUGCGUGCUGGGAGAUGGGAUUGGGCCCUGAGAGAGCCAGGGGGAGGGGACGCCUCUCUGCUACCCGUCACCACCCGCCCGACCCCGCUGGCCCCACGGUGUCCGGCUCUGUCACCGCCGGCCUCCGGCUCCGAGGCCCCUUUUCUCCAUGACACCGAGGACUGGGGCUCGAGCUUCGCCUGGCCUUUGGCGAGCCUUGGUCUCCCCCCCCCCCCCGGCCAGCCCUCCCCCCAGUGCCCCCCGCACCUUUUAAACUACGCAGAGGAAGAGUUUGCCAACCAACUUAGUCAAACCGUAACCUCGUCCCCCUCCCCGACCCACACUGGUGGGGCAGGCAUCUGGAGGGACCACUUUGCACUUGGGAUAAAGCACAUUAAAGACCUGUCAACCA